Molecule: long non-coding RNA, 1321 nt
Organism: Saccostrea cuccullata (small rock oyster)
Lineage: Eukaryota; Metazoa; Mollusca; Bivalvia; Ostreida; Ostreidae
Exons: 2
Source: RefSeq, a predicted model, not a curated record
UAGUGUCAUAUUUGAUAUUAUAUGGAAUAUGUGAUUUGCAGCACAUUCUUACUGAUAUUUCUUUAAAUUACAGGUAUCCUGAAUUUUUGUCAACUUCUAGCCAAGAUCCUGUACUUAAGCUGAAUGUGGAGGACAGAUGUACACACAGUACUAGUAUAGAGGGUAUUAUCUCGGUACCUUAAAACUCCAAACGACAGGGAGAAGAAGAAAACUGCAUAUUUCCGAUGUAUCUUCACAGCAACAUGACCCAAAGCACUACCAUUAAAGGAUUUGAUUUGACAUUAAGGAAGUAAAAAAAUGAAGGCAUUAGUCAUAAAGAAAAUUAAAGAACUUUAUGUCUGAAUAUUAUAUCAACAAUACCAUAGAUCUAAAGAUGGAUUAUUUUGCCUUAUAAUUUAUAUUAAUGCAUGUACAUGUAAUUUUAUUCUUUUUAUAUAUACAAUCAUGUAGUGUUACCAUUUUUCACAAAGCUUAAAAAGUUAUGUAGGGCCACACCAAUUUAAUUUCUUGUUCAUCGGACAUUUGAUUUAAAAAAAGUACAAGCAGUUAAAUGAUAAUAUUAUUACUCUUUGCUGGGCAAUUUUUUAGGCGGAGCGUGAAAAUUUGAGCGGACAAUUAUAUUUUUUCUGAUUUACAGAGUAAGCAGAUAUAAAAUACAAUAAAUAGAGCGGAAAUGGAACAGAAAAUAGCACAGAAUUCCUAUGGUGCGAGAAAUUGAAAUUAAUAUUAUUUGUAUGGUUUUGUUUAAAUAAGCGCGUGGGUCCGACGAACAAAAAUUUUCAUUAGUGUGGCCUAGAUCAUUUAGAUUCAAUUCAUUUUUUUCUUCAAAUUACCACAUGCCAGAAUUCAUAAGAAGGAAAUUUAUAUAUGGCUGGUGGUUGUGGCCAUUUUUAGACUAUAUUGAUCUCCUUUAGAAGGAGAGCUCCUUAUAAAAUUAUACAAAAAAUGACCAAAUUUUAAAACUAAAAUGUACAGAAUUUUUCUUUGCCAAAUGAUAGUUCAUAGAACCACAAUUCUUCAAUCAUGUCUACUUGGAGAUCAGUGGAUGGAUAUUCAUAUACAAUACACAGCUGAAGCAGGUUUUGUUAGGUUAUUUUAUUUUCAAAAGGAAUGCAUUAUUUUCUUCAGUCCAUUAAUGUUAAGCUCUUUAAUAGAAACAAUUGUAGAAGAUUUAUCAUAUUUUGUUUAGAAUUUUGAAGAAUUUGUUAAUCACUCAGUGAAAAUUAUCCCUUGUCAUAAUACAAAUUUUUAAAAUGUAUGUACAAAUACUUUUAUGUUGAAAUGACCAUGCAAGGAAGAAAAUAAAACAAGUUUAAGUGUA